UACAGAGGGGGCAAGCGUUAUUCGGAAUUAUUGGGCGUAAAGAGCUCGUAGGCGGUUUGGUAAGUCUAGUGUGAAAUCUCCACGCUCAACGUGGAGGGGCCACCCGAUACUGCCAUGACUGGAGUCCGGUAGAGGAGUGUGGAAUUCCCGGUGUAGCGGUGAAAUGCGCAGAUAUCAGGAGGAACACCGAUGGCGAAGGCAGGUCUCUGGGCAUUAACUGACGCUGAGGAGCGAAAGCAUGGGGAGCGAACAGG
RNAcentral lists this ribosomal RNA (254 nucleotides) under uncultured bacterium. Its description in RNAcentral is "partial 16S ribosomal RNA". It matches the Rfam family "Bacterial small subunit ribosomal RNA", at positions 524 to 776 of the family's 1533-position model. The record is from RNAcentral.